CGCACUGUGACCAGCCACCUCAGCAUGGCGAUUCUAUCUCUAUUCUUCCAAGAAACGACAAAGCUCUUUCUUUCCCACUCGACAUGUCUUCUACCCGAGCAUGGCGCGAGCUGUAGACUCGCGUUUCUAUCAAGAGAAAGACUUUCCAUAGCAACGGAUAAGUAGCUAGUGAUGGGUCGUUCUGCGAUGAAUUUACGUUUAGUUAGCCAAAAAAAAUGUGUCAAUGCACUAUUUUUCACGCAUGAACCUAUACAUAAACUCACGUAACUCAAAGUAACAACAAAACGUAUUCAUCGAACUUAUUUUUUAUCUGUGGAACUAAAAUGGUACAUGUUUGUUUGUUUACAAAAAACGAUUAUUGUUGUUGAUUUUAAGUAUUUAAAUAUUGGUGAUUACUGCGUGCGGCAAGGAAAAACGUACGAAGUCCCAUCCAAUAAACAGAGAAGAUAGUAUCCCGAUCCAUUGGGAAAAGAAGGCCACGAUAAAGAAGAAUAGGUCCGUAUUAAAACGCUGCUGAAAAAAUAUGGAAAAGAACGAGUUCUUGGCAUACAAUGUUGACACGAGAAUCAUUCUUUUAAUUACAAAAAAAGGAUGCUAAAUGACAACUGGGUCGUCAGUUUACAAAUUAUAAAUUAUUGAAAUGAUAUCAUUUAAUAAAGAAUGUGAAUAUUAAAAUCAUAAUGGUUGUUUAUUUAAAAUGUCAUUUUUUUCUUAGCAGAUAAAACUGUCCAAUUCUAGAGUCAUAUAGCCUGCGCAGUUUGUUCUUAAUGAGAGAACUAUUGAAAACUGAUUGUUUAUGAACUCUGUCAGGAUAAUUGGCAUUUAUGUUCAGUAUUUUGCACUCAGUAUCUACAAUCUCAAAUAGAGGUUAUAUCUAAUAUUAGGUAUCAUCAUCAUCAUCUCAGCCAUAGGACGUCCACUGCUGAACAUAGGCCUCCUCCUUUGAUCUCCACAGAUACCUGUUGGAAUAUAUUAGGUAUACUAACCUUGU
Molecule: long non-coding RNA, 991 nt
Organism: Helicoverpa armigera (cotton bollworm)
Lineage: Eukaryota; Metazoa; Arthropoda; Insecta; Lepidoptera; Noctuidae
Exons: 3
Source: RefSeq, a predicted model, not a curated record